GGAUCCUUGCAUGAAGGGAUGCCAGACCAGAGGCUGUUGCAUUAGACUCUGGCACAUGCAGUUGGAGAGGAGGCGUGAGAACCACGGCAGCAUCACGAAUGAGAGAGGCCUGGGUUCCUGCAUGACACGUAGAAUAGAGAACCACCUCUUCAUAACCUUUUAAAAUUCAUGACGCAGCAGUUUUGAAGAGACUAGGACAGCCGUAGAAUACUGCCACAUUCAGGAUUUGUCUCAGUGUUUCUUCAUCUUGUUUAACUUCCUCCUCGAUUCCUUGUGUUUUCUGCAAAUGGAAACCCAGCUCUGUAAUGUGGUUCCAUUCAGGUUAACUUUUUUCAAACAUGAUGUCAUACUUUAUACUGCAUCCAAUCAGAGGGACAUCAAUGCCCAGGCUCCCACCUCCCGUGAUAACUAUGUUUGAAGACUGAGCUCAGAUGGUGGCUGCAGAUGUCUCCACUGUAAAAGCACUUCCCACUUUCACAAUGAGCAUGUAAACUGUGGAGUAACUCUUGGUCACUAUCCUAACAUCCUGUUCCUGAACAACAUUUCACCCAAUAUUUUCAACAUCCAUUGUGGUGCCUUCCCUCAACUGUUUUUAUUUAGCAUUUAUUGAGCAAUUUACUAUGUACUAGGCUCUCUUCUAAGGGUCUGCAUGGCUUGGCCUAUGGUCCCCUUCCAGCUUCAAAGCCAGCAGUGAUGGGUUGAGUUCUCAUAUAGCAGCACUCUGAGCUUGCUUUUAUUAUCACAUCUUUUCUGAGUUUGACUGAAUCUCCUUCAGUUUCCCUUGUCCAUUUUAUAAAUAUAGCAGCACCUGGACUCUCUGAUCUUCAUUACAGCAUGUGGGAUCUUUUUACUUGCAGUAUGGGGGAUUUUUAGCUUUGGCACACAAACUCUUAAUUGCAGCAUGUGAGAUCUAGUUCCCUGACAAGGGAUCGAACCUGGAUCCCUGCAUUGAGGGCAGAGUCAGAGCCACUGGACCACGAAGUCUCUCCUUCAUC
This 995-nucleotide long non-coding RNA is filed under the name Ovis aries (sheep). RNAcentral describes it as "lncRNA (ENSOARG00000025629.1)". The record is from RNAcentral. Lineage: Eukaryota; Metazoa; Chordata; Mammalia; Artiodactyla; Bovidae.